GUGGUCAAGCUAUCAAGGGCACGCGGGGGAUGCCUUGGCGCCAAGAGACGAUGAAGGACGUGGCAAACUGCGAUAAGCUCCGGGAAGCCGUUAAGCAGGCUGCGAUCCGGAGAUUUCCGAAUCGGGAAACCGGUCCGGGGUGAUGCCCGGACAGUCGUCCCUGAAUUCAUAGGGGGCGGCAGUGAACGGGGGGAACUGAAACAUCUCAGUACCCCCAGGAAGAGAAAGAAACCUCGAUUCCCUCAGUAGCGGCGAGCGAACGGGGAAGAGCCUAAACCGUGUACGUGCAAGCUCGACGGCGUUGCGUAUGCGGUGUUGUGGGAUUUUCCAUGGCCGGCGUCGAUCGGCCGAGGGAGUUACAAAAGUGUUGUCCAGCCGAACAUUCUGGAAAGUUUGGCCAGAGCGGGUGAUAGCCCCGUAGGCGAACGGCAGCGCUCUCCCGGAAAACUCCCGAGUAGGCCCGGACACGUGAAACCCGGGUUGAAUCCGCGGGGACCACCCCGCAAGGCUAAAUACUACUUGGCGACCGAUAGCGAACCAGUAGCGCGAGCGAAAAUGGUGAAAAGUACCCCUGUGAGGGGAGUGAAAAGUACCUGAAACCGCGUGCCUACAAGCCGUGGAGGGGCUAUGGCCUUCGGGCAAUGCCUGACCACGUACCUUUUGCAUAAUGGGCCUGGGAGUUACCGUCUGCGGCAAGGUUAAGGGUCUUGAGGCCCGAAGCCGAAGCGAAAGCGAGUGUGAAUAGCGCGUUCAAGUCGCAGGUGGUAGACCCGAAAACGGGCGAUCUAACCAUGGCCAGGAUGAAGCGGACGUAAGAGUCCGUGGAGGUCCGAACAGGUUGAGGUUGAAAACUCAUCUGAUGAGCUGUGGUUUGGAGCAAAAGACUAAUCAAGCCCGUAGAUAGCUGGUUCUCUCCGAAAUGCCUUUUGGGGCAGCGUCGGAAGUUGUGCCACGGGGGUAGAGCCACUGAAUGGAAGUGGGGGGCUACCCGCUUACCCUUUCCAAUCAAACUCCGAAUACCGUGCGUACUAUUCCGGCAGUGAGUCCACGUGGGAUAAGCUGCGUGGACGAGACCGAGACAACGGUGACCGACGGCUAAGGUCCCUAAUUGUAACUAAGUGCAUAAGGAAGUCCGGGUGCAAAGACAGCGGGGAUGUUGGCUUAGAAGCAGCCAUCAUUUAAAAAGUGCGUAAUAGCUUACCCGUCAAGCACCCGCGCGCCGAGGAUGAGCGGGACUCAAGUUACAAACCGAAGCCACGGGAUGCGGACCCUCUGCGGAGGGACCGUAUCGGUAGGAGAGCGUUCGACGCUAGGACGAAGGAUGACCGUGAGGACAUCUGGACGAUGUCGAAGUGAUAAUCCAGGCACGAGUAACGAUAAAAGUGGUGGGAAUCCACUUCGCCGUAAGCCUAAGGUUUCCUGGGGAAGGCAAGUCCGCCCAGGGUUAGUCGGGUCCUAAGGCGAGGCCGAAAGGCGUAGUCGAUGGACAGCGGGUUAAUAUUCCCGCACCACUCCAUAGCCCAAUAUCCGAGGAGGGGUGGAGAAAGCUAGAUGAUCGCACGGAUGGAAGUGUGCGUACCUGCCCUUAGGGGGUUCCGUAGGUAAAUCCGCGGGACACAUACCCUGAGGGGCGGGUCGAGACCGAUUUGCGUUGAAGUCAUCGAUGCUCUGCUUCCGAGAAAAGCUUCGCGGAACAUGACUAUGUGAGUGUCCGUACCGCAAACCGACACAGGUAGGCAGGGUGAGUAUCCUCAGGCGCUCGAGUAAUCCGUCGUCAAGGAACUCGGCAAAUUAGCUCCGUAACUUCGGGAUAAGGGGCGCCCAGGGAAGUGUAGGUCCUCGCGACCGAAGCAUCCUUGGGCCGCAGAGAAAUGGGCCAACCGACUGUUUACCAAAACACAGGUCUCCGCUAAGUCGCAAGA
This 1922-nucleotide ribosomal RNA is filed under the name Paracoccaceae bacterium. RNAcentral's name for it is "Rhodobacteraceae bacterium (stromatolite metagenome) partial 23S ribosomal RNA". It matches the Rfam family "Bacterial large subunit ribosomal RNA", at positions 1 to 1838 of the family's 2925-position model. The record is from RNAcentral. Lineage: Bacteria; Pseudomonadati; Pseudomonadota; Alphaproteobacteria; Rhodobacterales; Paracoccaceae.